Molecule: long non-coding RNA, 565 nt
Organism: Manis javanica (Malayan pangolin)
Lineage: Eukaryota; Metazoa; Chordata; Mammalia; Pholidota; Manidae
Source: RefSeq, a predicted model, not a curated record
AGUGUGUUGGAUAGGAUCAUGUGAAUAUCAUGGAAGAGAUAACACUCAGGCUCUGAGAGGUUAAGAAACUUGCCUAAGGACACACAGCCAGUAAGAAGAGAAAAAAAUCCAAGGGAGUGCAAGGGUGGCAGCAGAGAGAGCUGUAAGGACGAAUCCCAGGUGGAGCCUGCUCGGAGUACUGUGGGUCCUUAGCCGAUCUGAUUGAUGAGGUGCCCUUCCUCCAGUCUGCCCUGGCCUCAGUCCUGACCUCAGUACACUAAGUUAACAUUUCUCUCUUUAUUCCCAUUACACUGGGCAGUGUAUCCUCUUGACCAUGUGUGGUGGUACUCAGUAAACAUUUGUUGAAUGAAUGAAUGAAUAAGUCUGUCUCUGUUAAGACCACAAUGGUCUCCCACAGAGGUGGUUUAUUUUAAUGAAAGGUUCUUUAAAACCCAUCUUUAAAACUGCAAGAGCCAAAGGACUAACCAACUCUGCUGACGCCAUACCCUGCUGUGACCCUCAGGGAAAGGGCACCUUCCCAGUCCUUCUGGGGUGAUACAAGUAGGCAACAGCCCACUGCCAACAC